This 382-nucleotide ribosomal RNA is filed under the name uncultured eukaryote. RNAcentral's name for it is "partial 18S ribosomal RNA". It matches the Rfam family "Eukaryotic small subunit ribosomal RNA", at positions 592 to 976 of the family's 1831-position model. The record is from RNAcentral.
CAAUAGCGUAUAUUAAAGUUGUUGCAGUUAAAAAGCUCGUAGUUGGAUUUCUGGUUGAAGCGACCGGUCGGGCGUUGAUUCGUCUGCACUGGAGUCGGUUUUGGCCAUCCUCUAGGAAAGUGCGUCUGGUAUUAAGGUAUCGGGCGUAUGAUCCUGGUCUUUUACUGUGAAAAAAUUAGAGUGUUUAAAGCAGGCCUUCGCCUUGAAUACAUUAGCAUGGAAUAAUAAGAUAGGACUUUGGUCUAUUUUGUUGGUUUGCAGACCGAAGUAAUGAUUAAUAGGGAUAGUUGGGGGUAUUUAUAUUCCGAUGUCAGAGGUGAAAUUCUUAGAUUUUCGGAAGAUAAACUUAUGCGAAAGCAUUUACCAAGGAUGUUUUCAUUAA